AUUGAACGCUGGCGGCAUGCCUUACACAUGCAAGUCGAACGAUGAACCCGGAGCUUGCUCCGGUGGAUUAGUGGCGAACGGGUGAGUAACACGCGAGUAACCUGCCCUUGACUCUGGGAUAACUGCGGGAAACUGUAGCUAAUACCGGAUACGACCCUCGGCGGCAUCGCCAAGGGGUGGAAAGAAUUUCGGUCAAGGAUGGACUCGCGGCCUAUCAGCUAGUUGGUGAGGUAACGGCUCACCAAGGCGACGACGGGUAGCCGGCCGGAGAGGGUGACCGGCCACACUGGGACUGAGACACGGCCCAGACUCCUACGGGAGGCAGCAGUGGGGAAUAUUGCAAAAGGGGCGCAAGCCUGAUGCAGCAACGCCGCGUGAGGGAUGACGGCCUUCGGGUUGUAAACCUCUUUUAGUAGGGAAGAAGCGAAAGUGACGGUACCUGCAGAAAAAGCACCGGCUAACUACGUGCCAGCAGCCGCGGUAA
RNAcentral lists this ribosomal RNA (484 nucleotides) under uncultured bacterium. Its description in RNAcentral is "partial 16S ribosomal RNA". It matches the Rfam family "Bacterial small subunit ribosomal RNA", at positions 29 to 523 of the family's 1533-position model. The record is from RNAcentral.